CGAUGACCGUUCCUCUCACUGCCACAAGCCUUGGGCAGUGGGAUUUUGUGUCAUCGUAGAUAAAGCCUGGCCUUUCUUCACUCAGGGUGCCCUUGGAUGGGUUUGGCUGUCCGUUAGCACCUUCUGAACUUUGUGGGGUCAGACAUUC
Molecule: small nucleolar RNA, 148 nt
Filed under: Sphenodon punctatus (tuatara)
Lineage: Eukaryota; Metazoa; Chordata; Lepidosauria; Sphenodontia; Sphenodontidae
Description: Small nucleolar RNA SNORA79 (ENSSPUG00000001193.1)
Rfam family: Small nucleolar RNA SNORA79
About the family: ACA65 (SNORA79) is a member of the H/ACA class of snoRNAs that guide the sites of modification of uridines to pseudouridines. This snoRNA was identified by computational screening and its expression in mouse experimentally verified by Northern blot and primer extension analysis.
Source: Rfam by way of RNAcentral